Molecule: ribosomal RNA, 207 nt
Filed under: uncultured bacterium
Lineage: Bacteria
Description: partial 16S ribosomal RNA
Rfam family: Bacterial small subunit ribosomal RNA
Source: RNAcentral
AGCGUAGGCGGCGUGGUAAGUCAGAUGUGAAAUCCCGGGGCUCAACCUCGGAACUGCAUCCGAUACUGCCAUGCUAGAGGAUUGGAGAGGUAGCUGGAAUUCUUGGUGUAGCAGUGAAAUGCGUAGAGAUCAAGAGGAACACUCGUGGCGAAAGCGAGCUACUGGACAAUAACUGACGCUGAGGCUCGAAGGCUAGGGUAGCGAAAG